GGGGUAUAUGAAAUUCUAAGGGUUUGAUAUUAGGUGAUCCCCAACAGAUUACUUGAAAACGAUCUCAUAUCUCUUUACCGGCAUCAAGAAUCAAGAUAUUAAUAUACUAUAUAAUCUAAAAAUAUAUCAUAAGUAAUAUAUUAAAUUUCUUAGGAACUUUAUAUUGUUAGAAUUAUAAUUAAGCAUAUGAUAUUUCAAGUCAGUUUGGGUUAAAUUUAAGAUUAGGUUUCAGGCAAUAAGAAUCAAAACAGGUAACUUUUAAACCAUAGAAGUUCUUAAACAAAUAUCCCUUAUAUCAAAGUUAGUGAAAAAGAGUUUAAGAAUCUAUAACAUCAAACUAUUUCUCAAAACACAUUUCUUCGACAAAAUUAUCAUAUGUAAUACAUAAAGAUAGGUGCUCAAAAAACUUUCAAAACUUUAAAGUUUUUUUUUCAAAAAAACCACCCGUUUGACCCGAACUUAUUUUGCUCCAAACCCAUAUUGACCCGAACUUAAUUAAUAAUUUAGCCCUAUAAUAAUAAGUUGGUUAGCCUUACUUGUUUCAACUCAUAUAGGAAAAAUAAUUUUAUUUGACCCAAACAUUUAUCCGACCCACCCGUUUUGCUAACUUUAGCAAUCAGUAGACUUAUUUUCAUGUAAUAACUAUAAAGAAUAGGAAGCCACCUCAGGAUCAAUGUUGAAAUCUUUAACAGCACUAUCCCUUGCAGAUGAAGACAUUGAGCCAUCAUGUCUCCUAUAUUCAAUACCAUACUCAUUAAUGGUGAAGGGCUGCCAACAAAAGCAAUUGUAAAAAUUCAUUAAGCAUUUAAAGAUAUAUUUGUAGGACCCAUCUAUCAUAUUGAAUUGCAAAAAAUUGAGUGGGCCCUACCACUAUUAUCACCAUCGACCUGAAAUUCCGGCGCCAUCAUCUCCAUCAUCAGCCACCAACCCAGAUAUUUAGUACCUAGCCCAAGCAAGUUGUCCCUGUUAUGAAAGCUUGACAUGUUCAACGCGGAUGCCAUCUGUGUUACUUUUGUUCUCAAAUUUGCAAGCAUAUGUCUGUGUCUGUUCAUCUCUAUCCCCGUUCUGAAAAUAUUAAAAAUAGGUUGAUUGAUAGUUUUGUUACCACUUUAAAAAAUUUAGAAAGACAAAAGAAGGAUAAUAACGCUCUCUUAACUACAACUCACAAACUGAGCUAAAUACAUACAGAGGCUGUUUUGCGGGAAGCUUUGUCAGAAGAGACUGCAAACUAUCAAGUCUAGUUCCCAAUAUCGUAAUCUUCCUCCGAAUCGCAGACGAAUGACGCUGAGCUUCCGACCCUGCUACAAACGAACUCCUCUCUGAUAUCAUACCAGUAAUGUCAUACCAGUAAUGUCAUCAGCAAGUUUAGACGCUUAAUUAUACUCCCUCGUCCACGAAUCCGCAGAAGACGCCAUUUAUCUGAAACAUAAACAAUAAAAAACUAACACAUUAACCGCCAGCCACCGUUAUACUUAAUUGCAUCCAAAUAGGGCUCACAAACAUCCAUAAAUAUCUAAAACCGCAGCGAAAAUCAUCAGGUGGUGAUGGUGGGAAAGAAGACUCAUCGGCAAAAAAAAGGAAAUAGUCGUGAGUGUAACUAAAAUUACGUAGCAUUUUCGGACCUUUUGCUGACAUCAUGUUCCUAAAAUUCUACCUACACAACAGAUACAUAUCCCAAAUACUGAAUCAAAUUAUUCGGAAAACAUAAUCUACACAGAUUGCUUUCAAAAACCAUAACAAUAUCGCAAAUCAUCAAAAGAGCACCAGAUCUACCUACCGAGGUUAUGAAACAUAAAAGUAAUCAAACCUUGAAGACGUAAAAUUGAUGCUUUAACGGAGGGAGGCACACUUGUUCUACUUGGCCGGUGUUCUUCAUGCUAUACUAUAACAAUUUUUAAAAGAUUCAAUGCAAGAGAUUUUAUUAGAUUUUGAUUAAAAACUCAUACCUACAGUGGAUUUGAGACCAAAUCAACUCAUGAUCUACGGAUCAGAGACUAUCGCCGCUAACAAACGCUAUUAACGGUCUUCUUAAUAAACGGAAAACAUCAACAACCAUUGCCGCCACCAUUCACAAGAACCCUAAAACACAGAUAAAUGGAUAUAAAUAUAUCAAACCUUAUAACAUAUCAAAAUCAACAGUAUACCUCGGAUGUAAGUCAAUUCUUUAAGAAAAGCUUCACAACUUCAUGAGUUAGAACAACAUGCCUACAAAUCACAAAUACAAAGUAAUUAUAAAAAAAUAUUCAAAAUAUUAAUAACUAAACAGAUGGAUUACAGGCAAAAAACAACUAUCAAACUAAUAUUAAUAAAGAAAAAAAUGAAAAACUACUACCUGUGAUCAAAUGUAUCAUCAAAAUACUUCUCGAAGUACUUGAUCUUGCCCAUAGUCGAACAAAAAAAAAAUGACAAAACGAUAAACAUACCUUUGAUUUCUUCAAUAUUUGGUAUUGUUCUUCAAAAUCAACAAAUAAGAAAUUGGAGUGCUUACCUUUGAUUAUGUGGAUUGUUCUUGAUGAUAUGCAAGCAUCGUUCUUGAGCAUUUGCAACAAUGAUUGAUAUGAGAGAAGUGGAGAAGAUUCGGCUAUCUAUCAUAAAAUAAUAUCAUUUAAGUUUAACCUAAUCGAUGAAACACGCUGAUUGUUUCGAAUCAAAAUUUUACAAAGAAGAUCGAAAGUAAAACAUCAAGAAUAAGAUUUUGAUACCUUUGAUUUGGAUGGUCUUUGAAUAUGCUUUGGAAAUCUGAAAUCGAUUUGGAGAGAAUGAUAAUUAGGGUUAAAUGUUAGAAUGAAACUUAUGUUGAGGGAAAAACCAUUUUAGUUAUUUUAGUUAAUACAUUUUCCCAAGCAAUGAUUCUUUAGUUGAAACACUUGAUUAUUUUUUAUUGUUUUUUUUUUCUAAUAUUUUAUUAAACCUAAUACCGGAUUAGCAAAUAUGAGUAAUAUUUAAAGUUAUUUUUUGGGUUAAAAUCAUAAAAAAAAACUUAUAUACCUUAUUGUGUUUAUUA
RNAcentral lists this long non-coding RNA (3004 nucleotides) under Helianthus annuus (common sunflower). RNAcentral describes it as "hypothetical non coding rna". Lineage: Eukaryota; Viridiplantae; Streptophyta; Magnoliopsida; Asterales; Asteraceae. The record is from RNAcentral.